Molecule: ribosomal RNA, 490 nt
Filed under: uncultured bacterium
Lineage: Bacteria
Description: bacterial SSU rRNA
Rfam family: Bacterial small subunit ribosomal RNA
Source: RNAcentral
GAUGAACGCUAGCGAUAGGCCUAACACAUGCAAGUCGAGGGGCAUCACAUGAAGUAGCAAUACGGAUGGUGGCGACCGGCGCACGGGUGAGUAACACGUAUGCAACCUGCCUUCAACAAGGGGAUAACCCGUUGAAAGACGGACUAAUACCCUAUAACACAGGGGUCCCGCAUGGGAAUAUUUGUUAAAGGACAACCGGUUGAAGAUGGGCAUGCGUUCCAUUAGCUAGUUGGCGGGGUAACGGCCCACCAAGGCAACGAUGGAUAGGGGAACUGAGAGGUUUAUCCCCCACACUGGAACUGAGACACGGACCAGACUCCUACGGGAGGCAGCAGUGAGGAAUAUUGGUCAAUGGACGCAAGUCUGAACCAGCCACGUCGCGUGAAGGAAGACGGCCCUACGGGUUGUAAACUUCUUUUAUACGGGAAUAAAGUGCCCCACGCGUGGGGUUUUGCAUGUACCGUAUGAAUAAGGAUCGGCUAACUCCGUG